CUAAUACAGCAUAAGACCACGGCUCCGAAAGGGGCUGAGGUCAAAGUCGGCCUCUAUUCAUAAGCUGACGCCAGGGGAUCGGCCUGCGGCCCAUCAGGUAGUUGGUAGGGUAACGGCCUACCAAGCCAAAGACGGGUAGCUGGUCUGAGAGGAUGAUCAGCCACACUGGAACUGAGACACGGUCCAGACUCCUACGGGAGGCAGCAGUGGGGAAUCUUGCGCAAUGGGCGAAAGCCUGACGCAGCGACGCCGCGUGGGUGAUGAAGGUUUUCGGAUUGUAAACUCCUGUUAAGUGGGAAGAAAGACUCAUACCUAAUACGUAUGGGGGAUGACGGUACCACUAGAGAAAGCACCGGCAAACUUCGUGCCAGCAGCCGCGGUAAUACGAAGGGUGCUAGCGUUAUUCGGAAUGACUGGGCGUAAAGAGCGUACAGGCGGUUUGUUAAGUCAACUGUUAAAUCACUCAGCUUAACUGGGUAUCUGCAGAUGAAACUGGC
Molecule: ribosomal RNA, 497 nt
Filed under: uncultured bacterium
Lineage: Bacteria
Description: bacterial SSU rRNA
Rfam family: Bacterial small subunit ribosomal RNA
Source: RNAcentral